GUUCCGUAGGUGAACCUGCGGAAGGAUCAUUAUCAUGUAAUUCAGUCCCCUUGGCUGUGUUAUAUAUAUACCCACUCUGUGUACCUUCUCCUGUUGCUUCCGCUGGGUGUGUAAUUCGCCCGGCGGAAGGGUAAAAAUAACCUCUGAGUAUUGAUGAAAUCUCUGUCUGAACCGAAUAGAAAGAAAAAUGUUAAAACUUUCAGCAACGGAUCUCUUGGCUCUC
Molecule: unclassified non-coding RNA, 223 nt
Filed under: plant metagenome
Description: partial contains small subunit ribosomal RNA, internal transcribed spacer 1, and 5.8S ribosomal RNA
Source: RNAcentral